This 1155-nucleotide long non-coding RNA is filed under the name Mus musculus (house mouse). Its description in RNAcentral is "long non-coding RNA chr3:13668013-13669168". Lineage: Eukaryota; Metazoa; Chordata; Mammalia; Rodentia; Muridae. The record is from RNAcentral.
ACCUUUUGUUUCCAUUUUCUUGAACGUGAAAAUCAGUCAUUUUCUAUAUUAAUACUUCUCAAAGUUGCCUGAGCACUUUAUAUACCCACUCAUCCUUCUAAGGAAAUAGCAUUAUUUUCAUAGAAGCAGUUGACGAUUCAGAACAAACCUUUCAAAACAAAUAUCAAAACAAAACAUACAUAAAGCCAGUGGUUGCCUACUUUAAAUAUAAAACAAAUCACUACAAGGAUAACACGAUGCAAACAAGUUAUAAUUACUGACAUAGUUGGAUUUGUUGCUGUCUACCGUCUUCAGUAAGGAACUGUUUUCUGUGACUUAUUUAAAGAUUGAACAAAGGAAUAAUAAAAUUAACUAAUUGAAGAUUCUAAAAAGUCUUUGUAUUUAAAGCAGUGCUUGAUAUAGUUGCCUUUUUCUCAAAAGUAUUUUUAAAACGAUUUUUCUGAACAAAUGAACUACAAUUUUUAUUAUUUAUUCUUUAAUCUUUUUUUACAUUGCAGACUUCAUCCCUGUCUCAGUCCACCCUCUGACUGUUUCAUACUCCAUACCUCCUCCACCCCUGCCUCCAAGAGGAUGCCCCACAUCAAAACCCACCCCACCAGACCUCUCCACUCCCCGGACCCCAAGUCUCUCCAGGCUUAGGUGCAUCUUCUCUGAGUCCAGACCAGGAAGUCUUCUGCUGUAUAUGUGUUGGAAGCCUCAUAUCAGCUGGUGUAUGAGGCUGGUUGGUGGUCCAGUGAGAGUUCCCCGGGGGUCCAGGGUAGUUGAGACUGCUGGUCUUCCUAUAGGCUUGCCCUCCUCUUCAGCUUCUUCCAGCGAUUCCCUUAUUAAACCACAGGGGUCACCAGCUUCUGUCCAUUGGUUGGGUGUAAAUAUCUGCAUCUGACACUUUCAGCUGCUUGUUGGGCCUUUCAGGGAUAGUCAUGCUAGGCCUCUAUUUUUGUUGUUGUUGUUGUUGUUUGUGUUUUUGUUUUUUUUUAAUAAAAAAUUGUAUUUACUUAGAAGCAUUCAGAAUGUCAACAAAACAGCCGCAUUUUUUUUAAUUUUUGCAAUUACAGAAUGGUAUUCAGUUAACAGAACAACAAUUAUUGUCGUUAUAAGCUGCAUCAGAGACAACUGAAGAUGAAAAAAAUAAAACCCAAAAAUAAAACCAAAAGG